This is a long non-coding RNA of Homo sapiens (human), 2842 nucleotides long. The record is from Ensembl. Lineage: Eukaryota; Metazoa; Chordata; Mammalia; Primates; Hominidae.
GGAAAGCGCGCGCCAGCUGCACGCAGGGAAACAGUUCUCAUUUUGUGUGCUCGGCUGACUGCACGUCCAGCCUCGGGCCAGCUCGAGACGGCCACAUUGCCUGGUUGAAGAUGGCUGAGCGUAAAACAGAAUGCAAGUCAGCUGGAGCACGUACUACUGGAGGCAGAGCCCCAUGAGAAGGGGCCAAGAACCCGCACCCAUCAAAAUCAAGAAGAAAGGCUGAACCCGGAGAGAAAAGGGAGGUGAGCCUGCGGAGGGAGAUGGGAUGCAGCGGAGGGAAUUGGGGUGCAGCGGAGGGAAUUGGGGUGCAGCGGAGGGAAUUGGGGUGCAGCGGAGGGAAUUGGGAUGCAGCUGAGAGGGGAGCGCCAGUGGGGAGGUUUUGGGAGCCAAGCCAUUAGAGGAAGGAUCACACAAUGUCCAGAGGUAAUGAACACAGAACUUUUUAGUUUGUUUUUAGGUCAGAGUCUCAUAUCCUGGUCUGCACUCGAUGGAUUCUUAAAGCAAUUGGAACCUCAGGCUGGUCCUGGAGCAAGAGCUGGUCCUUUACUUGGGGCUCUCAGGUUGAGAAGUUUGAGCUCUAGGAUUCUCCACUGACCACCUCUCCCUGUCUUUGCUCACUUCCCAUCUUUAAACUCCCAUUGAACUGGCAUGCUAUUCUUAGCAUGGCACUCAGGCUCUUGACUCCACCCAGUCCUUCUAGUUAUAUUGGCCAUGGUACCUACGUUCUUGUGUCUCCUAGCACUGUCUACCUACCCUCUCUCCACAACACAUAUUACACCCCCAAUCCAACCCAUAAUUCCCAUUGGUUUCCAGGUAUGCCAGUCUUCUUACGGUUUCCUAAACAUGUCAUAGUAGGGAAAAUGCUACAUGUUCACUACCUCAUUUCACCUUCCUAGGCAGAUGAGAAGACAUCUCCCAGUUUCUUUUUGCAGCUAGGUUGGGACACUGACCAAAUUUUUGACAACAAAAAAGUGAGUGGAGGGAUAUGGCAUUCUGGUUCAGGAAGACUAAGAGGGGGUCUGAGUUCUUCAUGCUUAUUCUCUUUUGUCCAUAUGCUAGGAUGUGCAAAACUCUAACUCAGUGGGUUGUAAAAUGGAAGCAGGCUGGGUCCUGAAUUUCUGUUGCAGGAAAGCUGACCAAUUGGCAUAAGACAUAUAUAUAUAUUUUUUUAAUGAGCAAAAGCCACUGAGAUUAUGGGGUUUUAUUUGUUACCUCAGCCUGUCCUAUUCUAUCCUAACAGCACACAUACCAUGCUUUUUCUUAUUUUGGCAUCUCUAUAGUUACAUUAUGUCACUUGGAAUGCCUCCCUGCAUUCCUACCCUGCAGCAAAUUGCUACUAUCCUUGGAUUCUCCUCUGUGAUCUUAUAGCACCAUGCUCAGGUUUCUGGCCUGAGUGAUUAGAUGAAUCUUGGCACCAGUAAGGAAAAAGAAAGGGAGGAAGAGGUGUACAUUUGGCAGAGAGAAAGAACUCUGUAUGUGCACUAUGUGUUUGAGAAUGGGACAUCCAGGGAUAUAUGGAUCUGAAGCUCAAGAGAGAGGUCUGAGCUAGAGAUAGGUAGAGGGUUGAGAGUCAUGAGCAUAGGGGAAGAAGUGGGCAAGAUUACCCAGCGAAAGUAUGUAAAUUAAGAUAAGAGAGUGGAAGAUGGAAAGGUGAAUCUUAGUGGAACACCAUCCUUUAAAGGAAGGCAGAAGAAGCAGAGCCCUUAUAAAUUUCACAGAGUCCCCCUAAGGACAUUCAGAAUUGAGCGUGAAACCUGGGAAAGCAGAACUAGUUUAUUGAUCAACAUUUACAAAUGUGAAACUUAAUUUUGAGGAAAACAGGGUAUACUGCAAUUGAAGCUGUUGAGUAGACCCAAAAAUGCCUUUGAAGGUGGAAUUGCUCACCUUUGUUACUGAGAAAACUCCCGGGCAAAAGUUUAGUUUUGAUCAUGUUAAAGGUAAAUUAAAAGCUGACCUUGGCUUUUAUAUUCCUGGCUUUCCUCAACCUGAAGUCUUCUGACUUCUCUGAACCUAAAGGAAUGAGAAAGUUGCAAGGAUUUGUAACCGGCUAUUGGAAUUAAUUGUGCUCACUAGCCUAUAUUUUGUUUUGCUUUUUUCUCCAUGUGUUUGCUUUUUGGAUGUAAUUCUUAAAUUGUCUAAAUGGUCACCUUUUGUUGUUGUUAUUCUUUAAAUGGUACCUGGACAGCUAUGAUGGGUCAAGAGAGAGAAUUGCUUUAUACUACAAGGCUAUCAGAAGAUCACUGAGGUUGUAGUGAGCCGAUAUCGCUCCACUGCACUCCAGCCUGGGCGACAGUGAGACUGUCGUGAGGAAGGGAAUGUGAUAAUCCAAGAGAGAGAUGACAAUGGAUUGGAACACAGUGGCAGCAGUGGAGGUAGUGAGAAGUGGUUGGAUGCAGGAUAUAUUUUGAAGAGGAAGCCAAUAAGAUUCGGAUGUGAGAAAAGAAAAAAAAGUAAGAGGAGUCCAGAAGGACUCUAAAGGUUUUGAAUAGAGUCACCAUCGACUGAGAGAGUGCAGACUGGGAGUGGAGCUGGCUUCAAAGGGAAGAACAGAAGUCCAAGUUUGGACUUGUUAAGUUUGAUACAUGAAGCAGGCAUCUGGAUAAAGGUCUGGAGUUCAAACGGGCGUGGUGGCUCACACUUGUAAUCCCAGCACUUUGGGAGGCCGAGGCAGGCAGAUCACUUGAGGCCAGGAGUUCGAGACCAGCUGGCCAACAUGGCGAAACCCCGUCUCUACUAAAAAUACAAAAAUUAGCUGGGCGUGGUGGCAGGUGCCUGUAAUUCCAGCUACUUGGGAGGCUGAGGCAGGAGAAUCACUUGAACAUUGGAGGCAGAGGUUGCAGUG